Molecule: long non-coding RNA, 467 nt
Filed under: Ananas comosus (pineapple)
Lineage: Eukaryota; Viridiplantae; Streptophyta; Magnoliopsida; Poales; Bromeliaceae
Description: long non-coding RNA (ACOM_LNC011264)
Source: RNAcentral
UUCAAACAAAUAAAAAAAAAGAUUAGUAUUCAAACAAAUAAAAAAAAUUGUUUCUAUAAACUGUUAAUAUUUUAAUAAAUUUUAAAAAAACUUCAAAUACCACUAUUGUGGUUUUAUACUUCCUCACUUUAAUAUUUUGUGGUUUAAAAUGUGUCACUUUCAUAUCAUGUCGUUUUAUUUUUCUCUUUUCGUUAUUCUUUUUAUUAUUUUUUUUGUUAAAUCAGUGACAAAGUUAAAAUUACAAAAUAUUAAACUAAAUAUUCGAUAAAUCAUAUGUGAUGUAUGUGAAGUUUUUUAUAUAUAAUUUAACGAAUAGUUAACAAAAACGCUGAUAAAAAAAGAAAAAUAAAACUACAAAAUAUUAAAAUAAUACACUUUAAAUUACAAAAUAGUAAAAUAAAAAAAUACUAAAUUAUUGAAAUGAUAUUUAAAAUUUACCCAUAAAUUUAUAUACUAUGCCUCAAAUU